Molecule: ribosomal RNA, 119 nt
Filed under: Gadus morhua (Atlantic cod)
Lineage: Eukaryota; Metazoa; Chordata; Actinopteri; Gadiformes; Gadidae
Source: RNAcentral
GUUUACGGCCAUACCACCUUAGGCACGCCCGAUCCCGUCUGUUCUCGGAAGCUAAGCAGGGUCGGGCCUGGUUAGUACUUGGAUGGGUGACCGCCUGGGAAUACCAGGUGCUGUAAGCA